AAAUAAGUUAUGAAAUCUAAAAGUAACAAAAAAAAUAACUGAUUGCUCAGAAUCACCCGUUAUCGCAGAUUUGACUAAAUCAUUCUUUUCAGGUUGGAGAGAACUUGAC
Molecule: non-coding RNA, 109 nt
Organism: Populus trichocarpa (black cottonwood)
Lineage: Eukaryota; Viridiplantae; Streptophyta; Magnoliopsida; Malpighiales; Salicaceae
Source: Rfam